This 533-nucleotide long non-coding RNA is filed under the name Homo sapiens (human). RNAcentral describes it as "HSALNT0036404". The record is from RNAcentral. Lineage: Eukaryota; Metazoa; Chordata; Mammalia; Primates; Hominidae.
CCAGAGUAGAGUCCAGGUUCCUGCUUCCAGCCUUCUGGUAGACCAGGCCCUGCCACAAAAAGUGCCAUUCAGAAAGCUCGCCAGCGAGAAGAGAGCUCCACGCUCAGCCUCAGAAGAAAGACGUUCAACGACUUACUGGGGAGAGAAAGAAAAGGAACGGGAGCUGAGAGCUGGGAGUGGAGUAUGAAGACCAAGGAAUUCUCUUAAAGACCUGAGCAGUUAUCUGGAACUCCUCACAAAAUCACAGUAAUGGAUAUUAUUUCCCAGUUCCUACUCUACACUGGGCAUAGAUGUUAUGGACAUCUUCUGAGUCCCACAACACCCCUGCAAGGCAGAUAUGAUACACUCCUUUCACCUAUGGAGAACGGAGGCUCAAAGAGGCUAGGUGACCCUCAGGAAACACAGAUGAGAGGUCCCCGCCCAGUCUGCCCAGCUCUGAAAUCUUCCAUGCCAACUCCCUUAGGGCGAUCCUGAGUCUAGGCUGUACAGGCAGUUCAUGUGGUUGUAUUUGAAUAAAAUCCCUUUCCUCCAGG